RNAcentral lists this long non-coding RNA (454 nucleotides) under Corvus moneduloides (New Caledonian crow). RNAcentral's name for it is "lncRNA (ENSCMUG00000017168.1)". The record is from RNAcentral. Lineage: Eukaryota; Metazoa; Chordata; Aves; Passeriformes; Corvidae.
AUGGAAUUUCAUGUCUUGCUGUAUUUUGAAUAGGACGAGGAGAUGUGUCUGAUAAGAAUUUACUUAUCAAGAAGAACAGUUUUGGACAAGAGUAAGGAAAAAAUAUUUUGUGGAUACGUCACUUUGAGAUCACAGAAUGAAAGCAGCAUGAAAUGUUAUGGCAAAGACAGCACAAAAAGAUACAAGAAUCUCACAAAUCCUCAAAAAUCAGGUGCUUGGCACACUGAACUUACUGAUCUGUGUAGGAUUUGUGCUGUGGUCCAUUUCUUGAAGAUGUGAAACAACAUCGAGUCUGAGAUUGGAAUUACUGACAGACUGGAGGAAAUUUUAGUCCUUGUGAUGCACAUGGACAUGCUGAAUUAUAAGUAAUUCUAGCUUCUUCUCCCCUCCCCUCCCCUCCCCUCAGCUAUCUCAGGGUUCAUAGAGAUUUCAAUGGUUUGUGUGCCUGUAAGCU